Molecule: long non-coding RNA, 545 nt
Organism: Felis catus (domestic cat)
Lineage: Eukaryota; Metazoa; Chordata; Mammalia; Carnivora; Felidae
Exons: 4
Source: RefSeq, a predicted model, not a curated record
CUAGACCCGCCUCGUUUCAGCCGCCAGACCUGUCUCUCCCCCGAAGCGUUCCGAAACCCCUCUAUGCCUUCAGCCUUAAGAUAUCUCGGAAUUCUGGCAACUUCCCUGGGCUCCUCCCGCCCCCAUUAGGCGUCUCCAGGGAAUUGCAAAUUAAAACAACGAGAGAAUUAUCAGAAUGGUUGAAAUCCAAAGCACCACCACCAACUAAUGCUGGCGAAGACGUGGAACAACAGGAAGUCUACUUCAUUGCUGAUAGGAAUGCAAAAAGAUGAAGAAACUGAAGCUCCCAGAGGGAAGUGGCUUGCCCAAGACUCUACAGCCAAGGAGUAGGAGAGCUGAUCCCCAAAUCUUCUGAUCACAUAGGGACUGAGAAUAUUCUUCAUCACACCGUGAUUGCUUCUUUGACUGCCACUCCUACCACCUAGCAUUUUUCUUUUCAGAGUGACUGAUAUUCCAUCUCUCCUGGGAUAGAGCCUUCCUUAACUAGAGAGAUGGAGCAUGAACAGGGGAGGGGCAGAGAGAGAGGGAGACACAGGAUCUGAAGC